GACGAACGCUGGCGGCGUGCCUAACACAUGCAAGUCAACUUGACUGAAGGAGCAAUCUGACAGUAGAGUGGCGCAAGGGUGCGUAACGCGUAAGUAACUUGCCCAAGGUAAGGAAUAACGUCGAGAAAUCGGCGCUAAUACCUCAUAAUGCAGCGGAUCCGCAUGGAUAUGUUGUUAAAGGUUUACCGCCUUGGGAUAGGCUUGCGUCUGGUUAGCUAGUUGGUGUGGUAACGGCACACCAAGGCUACGAUCAGUAACUGGUCUGAGAGGAUGAUCAGUCACACUGGAACUGAGACACGGUCCAGACUCCUACGGGAGGCAGCAGUGAGGAAUAUUGGGCAAUGCUCGAAAGAGUGACCCAGCAACGCCGCGUGGAGGAUGAAGGUAUUCUAUAUCGUAAACUCCUGUGAGAGCAGACGAAAGACAGAUUAUUAAUCUGGAUGACUGUAUGCUCAGAGGAAGCCCCGGCUAACUACGUG
Molecule: ribosomal RNA, 479 nt
Filed under: uncultured bacterium
Lineage: Bacteria
Description: bacterial SSU rRNA
Rfam family: Bacterial small subunit ribosomal RNA
Source: RNAcentral